RNAcentral lists this transfer RNA (65 nucleotides) under Pachydactylus mclachlani. RNAcentral's name for it is "tRNA-Tyr". Lineage: Eukaryota; Metazoa; Chordata; Lepidosauria; Squamata; Gekkonidae. The record is from RNAcentral.
RGUUAUAUGGCCGAGCAGGUAAUGGACUGUAAAUCCAUGUACAGGAGUAUAUCCUUAUUGCCAAG